RNAcentral lists this ribosomal RNA (460 nucleotides) under uncultured bacterium. RNAcentral describes it as "SSU rRNA". It matches the Rfam family "Bacterial small subunit ribosomal RNA", at positions 26 to 518 of the family's 1533-position model. The record is from RNAcentral.
AGAACGAACGCUGGCGGCAGGCUUAACACAUGCAAGUCGAGCGCCUCGGCAACGGGGAGCGGCAGACGGGUGAGUAACGCGUGGGAACAUACCCUCCGGUUCGGAAUAACUCAGGGAAACUUGAGCUAAUACCGGAUACGGUAACCAAGAGAGAUUUUGGCGGCGAAAGAUUUAUCGCCGGAGGAUUGGCCCGCGUCCGAUUAGCUAGUUGGUGUGGUAAUGGCGCACCAAGGCGACGAUCGGUAGCUGGUCUGAGAGGAUGAUCAGCCACAUUGGGACUGAGACACGGCCCAAACUCCUACGGGAGGCAGCAGUGGGGAAUAUUGGACAAUGGGCGCAAGCCUGAUCCAGCCAUGCCGCGUGAGUGAUGAAGGCCUUAGGGUUGUAAAGCUCUUUCACCCACGACGAUAAUGACGGUAGUGGGAGAAGAAGCCCCGGCUAACUUCGUGCCAGCAGCCGC